CGUUCUCAUUCCGAACACGGAAGUUAAGCUUCUCAGCGCCGAUGGUACUGCCAGGGAAACUUGGUGGGAGAGUAGGUCGCUGCCGAAU
RNAcentral lists this ribosomal RNA (88 nucleotides) under Pseudomonadota bacterium. Lineage: Bacteria; Pseudomonadati; Pseudomonadota. The record is from RNAcentral. RNAcentral also lists the same sequence under 1 other name.